GCCCCCGUUGUCUAAUGGUUAUGACGUCAGACUUCUAGCUUACGUAAUGAAUCUGGAGGUUAUGGGUUCGAGUCCCAUCGGGGGUU
Molecule: non-coding RNA, 86 nt
Organism: Lentinula novae-zelandiae
Lineage: Eukaryota; Fungi; Basidiomycota; Agaricomycetes; Agaricales; Omphalotaceae
Source: the annotation of a GenBank genome assembly